RNA transcript from Oryza brachyantha (malo sina), 1208 nucleotides. RefSeq lists it as hypothetical. The record is from RefSeq and is a predicted model, not a curated record. NCBI's taxonomy places the organism in Eukaryota, Viridiplantae, Streptophyta, Magnoliopsida, Poales, Poaceae. The transcript has 2 exons.
CAUUCUAGUCUUCUCAUCUCAAGCCUCCGCCGACCGCCGCCUCCGUGCUGCCGCUUCUCGACGAGCCGUUGCUCCGGCCUCCGGGAAACCUCGUAUUGGGACCACUCCAGAUACCAGUCGACCACGGAGUAUCGGACGCCGGAGACGCCGCUGUCCGGCGGCCCCAUCACCAGGUGAAAAACAGGGCCUAUUUUGUGCAAGAACUUACAUACCCAUAUUUAGUUAUCUGCACCUCCCAAGUUGUUGAUAAAAUAUGGAUGAUGGGGAGAUAGAGCUUUCCAGCCAAAUGAUGUUUCCAAAUCCAGAGACUCCUACCAGCCUUGAUGAUUUCAUGCCAAGCAUCAGGACAACAUGCACCCACACUCAUACAUGUAACGCGCCUGGUCCGUCAGCAACCGCGCACACCCAUACAUGCUACCACACUCACACUCAAGUUCUCAGCACAGAUGAUGAUAGCUGCGGAGAUGAUAAAACUAGGCGUAAGAAGGCCAGCAAGCCGUUGGGUAACCGUGAGGCUGUCCGCAAGUACAGACAGAAGAAGAAGGCUCAUACAGCACAGUUGGAGGAGGAAGUGAAGAAGCUGCGUGCCAUUAACCAGCAGCUGGUGAAGAGGCUGCAAGGGCAAGAUGCACUUGAAGCUGAAGUGGUACGGUUGAGGUCGUUACUGGUGGAUGUGCGAGCGAAGAUCAAUGGUGCGCUGGGUAGUUACCCGUUUCAAGCGCAAUGCGGCGUUGGGAAUGUUUCAAGUUGCGAUGGAAUGGCACAGUGCUUUUGUGGGAAAAUCGGAGCUGGGUGUGAGUCAGAGUUGUGAACCUCGUCUAAUGAACUGCCAUGUCAGCCCGGGUUCAGGGCAGAACUUGGUGGUGCCCAUGCUUUAAGCCGGAAGCUUCAUGGUCUCAUCUACCUCAAGGGAUGAGUAGAUAAUGUAAGUAUUCUUUUGUUUCUAGCUUUGCUAUCAGAAUUAGACAGUAGUAUUGUUGAUGCCUUGUUUCAUUAAUGACAUUUACCCCUAAAAUCUGGUUAGUGGUAACUAGUUUCCAGGUUCAGUAUCAAGUGCACAUUCUUUGUUUCUGUACAGUAUAAAAUGUCUUUGGUAAAGGAGAGCUUAUGCUGACUAUGAAGUGUAAAUGUAAUGUUGGACCGUAAUGGCUGUAACUGUUCUACUGUGUUUGUCAUCUUUCUGGUUCUGGUAGUAGCUGAUGGUGGUU